CCUUGCACAGNAAACUGCUUCAGUGGCCGAUCCCCUCUGAGCUCAGAAGCUAAGCACGGACAGGACCGGUUAGUACUGGCUUGGGACACUCACUGGCAAUUGCGAGCCAUAGGCCAGGA
Molecule: ribosomal RNA, 119 nt
Filed under: Salvator merianae (Argentine black and white tegu)
Lineage: Eukaryota; Metazoa; Chordata; Lepidosauria; Squamata; Teiidae
Source: RNAcentral